UUUUACAGAAUAAAGAGAGUUUGCGUAGCAGCAUGAAAGCACAGUAGGGCUGCUGAGAAGGGACUUGUGGACAUUUGUCGUCUAUGUUUUGAGGCAGGGGCAAGUAUGGGCCAAGGCACCGCAUGUGCAAGAAGUGAUGGCACCUUGCGUCAGAGAGGAAGGCUGGCUUAUGAAAGGAGGACAAAGUGUUAGACAGGAAAGAGGAAUAAGAUCAGCAGGAGAAAAGUAAACCAGGUGUUCUUACAGGAUGACUGCAAUCUUCUAAGAGAGAAGAGACACCGGCUGGAGGGGCCAUGGGGAUGGAGAUUAGGAAACUGCGGAGGGAGAGGGUCCAGCUCCAGCUCUGUGGGGUUUCUAGGAAAGGACCAACAGGACAUGACUGAGAGGCUGUUCUGGCAGCCCCAGGGUCCUGUUGCGGUUGUUUGCUGGCAUGAAUUCUUAGAUUUACAAUGGGUGAUCAGGGGAGCAGGACAAAUGCAGGAGUCCUUUCUCCCCCUUUCACACUUUGGAUUCUGACCAUGUGGAAGAAAGAAAGGACUGCGAGGAAGUCAAGGUGAGAUGUUACCUGGAACUCGCUGUCCCAUCAAGAGAUCCUGGGAAAUAAGAAGAGCUGAGCAGUAAAAAUUUUAUGAACCUGGAGCUACUACCGAGGCUGAAAACUGCUAACCUUGAGAAAUAAGGAACAAAGAAAUAGAGAUGAAAGCAUUGAGCUGUACCUGGAAUACUUCUGAGAUUUUCAGUAUUA
Molecule: long non-coding RNA, 745 nt
Organism: Rhinolophus ferrumequinum (greater horseshoe bat)
Lineage: Eukaryota; Metazoa; Chordata; Mammalia; Chiroptera; Rhinolophidae
Exons: 3
Source: RefSeq, a predicted model, not a curated record